GGGUUGUCAUGCCAAUGGCACUGCCCGGUAGCUAAAUGCGGAAGAGAUAAGUGCUGAAAGCAUCUAAGCACGAAACUUGCCCCGAGAUGAGUUCUCCCUGAGACUUUAAGUCUCCUGAAGGAACGUUAAAGACGAUGACGUUGAUAGGCCGGGUGUGUAAGCGCAGCGAUGCGUUGAGCUAACCGGUACUAAUGAACCGUGAGGCUUAACCUUACAACGCCGAAG
RNAcentral lists this ribosomal RNA (225 nucleotides) under Klebsiella pneumoniae. RNAcentral's name for it is "partial 23S ribosomal RNA". It matches the Rfam family "Bacterial large subunit ribosomal RNA", at positions 2718 to 2925 of the family's 2925-position model. RNAcentral also lists the same sequence under 3 other names. The record is from RNAcentral. Lineage: Bacteria; Pseudomonadati; Pseudomonadota; Gammaproteobacteria; Enterobacterales; Enterobacteriaceae.